This 273-nucleotide unclassified non-coding RNA is filed under the name Ascomycota sp. RNAcentral describes it as "partial contains small subunit ribosomal RNA, internal transcribed spacer 1, and 5.8S ribosomal RNA". The stretch from base 1 to 47 matches the Rfam family "Eukaryotic small subunit ribosomal RNA", at positions 1785 to 1831 of the family's 1831-position model. The record is from RNAcentral. Lineage: Eukaryota; Fungi; Ascomycota.
AAAGUCGUAACAAGGUCUCCGUUGGUGAACCAGCGGAGGGAUCAUUACAGAGUUAAACAAACUCCCAAACCCGUGUGAACUUUACCAGUAUAGUUGCCUCGGCGGCGCUGGAGUCGUGGAAAAGCUACCCGGAACCUACCCGGGAAACGGUAGCUGACCCGGCCCCGCAAGGCCCGCCGGUGGUCCAUACCCUAAACUCUUGAUAUAUAUCGCCAUUCUGAAUUUUAUAAACUUAAUAAGUUAAAACUUUCAACAACGGAUCUCUUGGUUCUG